This 305-nucleotide ribosomal RNA is filed under the name uncultured bacterium. Its description in RNAcentral is "bacterial SSU rRNA". It matches the Rfam family "Bacterial small subunit ribosomal RNA", at positions 335 to 657 of the family's 1533-position model. The record is from RNAcentral.
CCACCUACGGGAGGCAGCAGUCGGGAAUAUUGCGCAAUGGAGGAAACUCUGACGCAGUGACGCCGCGUAUAGGAAGAAGUUUUUCGGAAUGUAAACUAUUGUCGUUAGGGAAGAGAAAGGACAGUACCUAAGGAGGAAGCUCCGGCUAACUACGUGCCAGCAGCCGCGGUAAUACGUAGGGGGCGAGCGUUAUCCGGAUUCAUUGGGCGUAAAGCGCGCGCAGGCGGACCGUUAAGCGGGACCUCUAAUCCUGGGGCUCAACCUCAGGCCGGGUCCCGAACUGGCGGUCUCGAGUGCGGUAGGGG